GACGAACGCUGGCGGCGUGCCUAACACAUGCAAGUCGAACGGAAAGGCCCUGCUUUUGUGGGGUGCUCGAGUGGCGAACGGGUGAGUAACACGUGAGUAACCUGCCCUUGACUUUGGGAUAACUUCAGGAAACUGGGGCUACUACCGGAUAGGAGCUCCUGCUGCAUGGUGGGGGUUGGAAAUUUUCGGCGGUUGGGGAUGGACUCGCGGCUUAUCAGCUUGUUGGUGGGGUAGUGGCUUACCCAGGCUUUGACGGGUAGCCGGCCUGAGAGGGUGACCGGCCACAUUGGGACUGAGAUACGGCCCAGACUCCUACGGGAGGCAGCAGUGGGGAAUAUUGCACAAUGGGCGGAAGCCUGAUGCAGCAACGCCGCGUGCGGGAUGACGGCCUUCGGGUUGUAAACCGCUUUCGCCUGUGACGAAGCGUGAGUGACGGUAAUGGGUAAAGAAGCACCGGCUAACUACGUG
This 468-nucleotide ribosomal RNA is filed under the name uncultured bacterium. Its description in RNAcentral is "partial 16S ribosomal RNA". It matches the Rfam family "Bacterial small subunit ribosomal RNA", at positions 28 to 507 of the family's 1533-position model. The record is from RNAcentral.